RNAcentral lists this ribosomal RNA (253 nucleotides) under uncultured bacterium. Its description in RNAcentral is "partial 16S ribosomal RNA". It matches the Rfam family "Bacterial small subunit ribosomal RNA", at positions 524 to 776 of the family's 1533-position model. The record is from RNAcentral.
UACGAAGGGGGCUAGCGUUGCUCGGAAUCACUGGGCGUAAAGGGUGCGUAGGCGGGUCUUUAAGUCAGGGGUGAAAUCCUGGAGCUCAACUCCAGAACUGCCUUUGAUACUGAGGAUCUUGAGUUCGGGAGAGGUGAGUGGAUCUGCGAGUGUAGAGGUGAAAUUCGUAGAUAUUCGCAAGAACACCAGUGGCGAAGGCGGCUCACUGGCCCGGUACUGACGCUGAGGUGCGAAAGCGUGGGGAGCAAACAGG